This is a long non-coding RNA of Onychostoma macrolepis, 1092 nucleotides long. RefSeq lists it as uncharacterized. The record is from RefSeq and is a predicted model, not a curated record. The transcript is spliced from 4 exons. Lineage: Eukaryota; Metazoa; Chordata; Actinopteri; Cypriniformes; Cyprinidae.
CGCGAGAGUUGGCAACUGUGGACGACACCAUUUUAUAUUCAGGCGACCGAGACGGUUUACAGUGUUAAGUUCGUGAGGUGUACAGAUGCAAUGUAACAUAAGCCUGAGUGAAAGCUUCUAAUGCGGGUUCGAUUUCCUGAAAUAAGAUCCUCUCGCCUUCAUUCCCGCCGAGGCCUAGCAGCCACAUUUGGGCGGUUUUCUACUCAGAGGAGAGAAUAAAUCAAAUGUCUGUAUCUGGUCAGAUGGUGGAUCAGCACCAAGAGAUGAUGUCUACAGCCCUGAUCGUUAGCGGAGACCAGGACACCUAGAUGAGCCCCAGAGACAUAUCCCCAAUGAAAACCUCGAUUGAAUACAAUAAAACUAAAAGAAAUAUAACAAAAUAACUAAAAUAUAAUAAAAUACCUAACUACAUAAUACUACUAUUGUUAGAAAUUGCAACAAAAUUAAAAUAGAAAUAUAAACUUUUGAACUGUGGGUUUCGUCUGUCCAGAGGAGAGCUGGCCCCCCGACUGAGCCUGGUUUCUCCCAAGGUUUUUUUUUCUCCAUUCUGUCACAGAGGGAGUUUUGGUUCCUUGCCGCUGUCGCCUCUGGCUUGCUCAGUUGGGGACACUUAAUUUCUAGCGAUUAUUGCCGAUUUGAUUGCACAGAAAAUAUUUAAACUUGACUUGACUUGAAAAACAUCUUCAAAAAGGUACAUUUCUGUCACUACCUAUUGUCUGCCUCAAAAUAUUGCCAGAUGUGUUUUAUAUGAAAUACUAAUAAAAAUAAAAUCAAUUGGAGAGCUGACCUUAAUUGUUAUUUUUGUCUUUGAUCUGCAGGCACUAAUAAGAAGAAUACCUUGUAGAGACCACACAGCCAUACCUGCUCACUGAUGGGACAACGAGCAUUCAUGGAUGCUACACAACUGUCGACAAGUAUCUUGCUGCAGUCUUGUUCAAAUCUACCUGUCAUACUUGUAAAUUUGAUGAUUUUAUGUGUUUUAUUAACUAAUUUAUGUUUCCGUGCAACACUUAAUGAAUGUGACUGACUAAUUAACCUCUACACAUCUGGUAUAUGCUUUAAAGUUUCCACUUUGCCCAUUUGUUAAAUAAA